Molecule: ribosomal RNA, 484 nt
Filed under: uncultured bacterium
Lineage: Bacteria
Description: partial 16S ribosomal RNA
Rfam family: Bacterial small subunit ribosomal RNA
Source: RNAcentral
AUUGAACGCUGGCGGCAGGCCUAACACAUGCAAGUCGAGCGGAUGAAGGGAGCUUGCUCCUGGAUUCAGCGGCGGACGGGUGAGUAAUGCCUAGGAAUCUGCCUGGUAGUGGGGGAUAACGUCCGGAAACGGGCGCUAAUACCGCAUACGUCCUGAGGGAGAAAGUGGGGGAUCUUCGGACCUCACGCUAUCAGAUGAGCCUAGGUCGGAUUAGCUAGUUGGUGGGGUAAAGGCCUACCAAGGCGACGAACCGUAACUGGUCUGAGAGGAUGAUCAGUCACACUGGAACUGAGACACGGUCCAGACUCCUACGGGAGGCAGCAGUGGGGAAUAUUGGACAAUGGGCGAAAGGCUGAUCCAGCCAUGCCGCGUGUGUGAAGAAGGUCUUCGGAUUGUAAAGCACUUUAAGUUGGGAGGAAGGGCAGUAAGUUAAUACCUUGCUGUUUUGACGUUACCAACAGAAUAAGCACCGGCUAACUUCGUG